UACGUAGGGACCAAGCGUUGUUCGGAUUUACUGGGCGUAAGGGCGCGUAGGCGGCGCGGUAAGUCACUUGUGAAAUCUCUGAGCUUAACUCAGAACGGCCAAGUGAUACUGCAGUGCUAGAGUGUGGAAGGGGCAAUCGGAAUUCUUGGUGUAGCGGUGAAAUGCGUAGAUAUCAGGAGGAACACCGGUGGCGAAGGCGGGUCUCUGGGCAGUAACUGACGCUGAGGAGCGAAAGCGUGGGGAGCGAACAGG
RNAcentral lists this ribosomal RNA (252 nucleotides) under uncultured bacterium. RNAcentral's name for it is "partial 16S ribosomal RNA". It matches the Rfam family "Bacterial small subunit ribosomal RNA", at positions 524 to 776 of the family's 1533-position model. The record is from RNAcentral.